GACUCUGUUGCCUCCGGGGCGACCCUGCCUUCGGGCGGGGGCUCCGGGUGGACACUUCAAACUCUUGCGUAACUUUGCAGUCUGAGUAAACUUAAUUAAUAAAUUAAAACUUUUAACAACGGAUCUCUUGGUUCUGGCAUCGAUGAAGAACGCAGCGAAAUGCGAUAAGUAAUGUGAAUUGCAGAAUUCAGUGAAUCAUCGAAUCUUUGAACGCACAUUGCGCCCCCUGGUAUUCCGGGGGGCAUGCCUGUUCGAGCGUCAUUUCACCACUCAAGCCUCGCUUGGUAUUGGGCAACGCGGUCCGCCGCGUGCCUCAAAUCGACCGGCUGGGUCUUCUGUCCCCUAAGCGUUGUGGAAACUAUUCGCUAAAGGGUGCUCGGGAGGCUACGCCGUAAAACAAACCCA
RNAcentral lists this small RNA (405 nucleotides) under Cladosporium sp. MS-2015. RNAcentral describes it as "eukaryotic LSU rRNA". The stretch from base 108 to 261 matches the Rfam family "5.8S ribosomal RNA". Lineage: Eukaryota; Fungi; Ascomycota; Dothideomycetes; Cladosporiales; Cladosporiaceae. The record is from RNAcentral.